UCUCUCUGUGCCCAGUUCUAUUAUCGGUACGGUGUCCUUCACAGGGUUCCGGGGAGACAAAAUCCAGUGUCACAUGGACUGCCUUCCCCUAGGAGGUCCUCAGUAAAUGUCCAGUGAUAAAGGGGGAAGCUGUGUGGCCCAGUGCAGAGAGGGUUCCUGGGCUUAAGAAACAACCUGGGGAAAGAUUGGCUUAAAGGAGGGUGUUCUCUUUCCGUGCCCAUUUGCUCCUUCCGGCAUCCUGAGGUCGCCAUGUUGAUCACCUGGGUUAGGAGGAGGGCCUGAAGCCCAGAGGGGCAGGUGACUUUCCUGCCAUCACACAGCAGAGCAGAGCGGU
This 334-nucleotide long non-coding RNA is filed under the name Homo sapiens (human). Its description in RNAcentral is "HSALNT0235646". Lineage: Eukaryota; Metazoa; Chordata; Mammalia; Primates; Hominidae. The record is from RNAcentral.